This 312-nucleotide long non-coding RNA is filed under the name Elaeis guineensis (African oil palm). RNAcentral describes it as "long non-coding RNA (EGUI_LNC064550)". The record is from RNAcentral. Lineage: Eukaryota; Viridiplantae; Streptophyta; Magnoliopsida; Arecales; Arecaceae.
GCCUCUGACCUGUUGAACUAGCAGGUUGAACUGCUCCAUGCCGACUGCCGUUGCCAGAGGAGGAGCCUGAAAAAUUGGAGAUGAGGCCGGAGCUUGUGGGUCUCGCUGAGAUCUGGCCGUGGAGGUCGUGGAUCGCCUGGUGGAUGUCUUUUGGAGAGGCAUCAAGUGGAGAUCUGGCAGGAGAAGAAGGAGAAAAUAUCGAAGAAGAUGACCAAAGACAAUCCCGUUGAGUACUCCUUUAAGAACAAGGAUACUGCGAAGACACAGAGCCCUUCCUCUAGCACCAAUUCUAUUGGUGUAGAAUUUCACCGA